RNAcentral lists this unclassified non-coding RNA (253 nucleotides) under uncultured Pseudobdellovibrionaceae bacterium. RNAcentral describes it as "uncultured Bdellovibrionaceae bacterium contains 16S-23S intergenic spacer region". It matches the Rfam family "Bacterial small subunit ribosomal RNA", at positions 524 to 776 of the family's 1533-position model. Lineage: Bacteria; Pseudomonadati; Bdellovibrionota; Bdellovibrionia; Bdellovibrionales; Pseudobdellovibrionaceae. The record is from RNAcentral.
UACGGAGGGCGCAAGCGUUGCUCGGAAUCACUGGGCGUAAAGCGCACGCAGGCGGCUUGGCAAGUCGGGUGUGAAAGCCCUGGGCUCAACCCAGGAACUGCAUUCGAAACUGCCAGGCUUGAGUACGGGAGAGGGUGGUGGAAUUCCUGGUGUAGAGGUGAAAUUCGUUGAUAUCAGGAGGAACACCGGCGGCGAAGGCGGCCACCUGGCCCGUAACUGACGCUCAUGUGCGAAAGCGUGGGGAGCAAACAGG